Biomphalaria glabrata is the source of this 5178-nucleotide long non-coding RNA. RefSeq lists it as uncharacterized. The transcript is spliced from 2 exons. NCBI's taxonomy places the organism in Eukaryota, Metazoa, Mollusca, Gastropoda, Planorbidae. The record is from RefSeq and is a predicted model, not a curated record.
UCCAUUUUUCAUUCGGAGAAAAAGAAUGGACCAACUAGAGUCUCUCGGCGUAAUUGUGUCGAUAUCUACCUGCUGUUGAUUCGGCGUAGUGUUAGCAAAUUGAUUUAUGUGUUGAUAUCAUUUGCAUGGGCCUAGCUGAGCUAAAAAGUAAAGAAGGGGGACGUUACAAAAGUACUCGAACCAUUCCCAGGUUACUUUCACAAUGAUUAUUUGUCCAGAUUUGGUUGGCUGCCUAUAUAGACUUGCACUGCUUUAUGAAUGACAUCGCUCGUAUCGAAAUUAAAUGUCAGUUCCAUUGUUCGCUAAUGCUUUUGCACAAUCUAGAUUGAAUUAGACUUUGUUUGAUUUCUUACUGGAUACUUAUUUAUGGAAUAUAUUUCAUGUAUGUGGGAAUAAAGUUGUGUAUUAGGUUUGGUUAUGAGAAGAUUGCAAAUGCGUGUUACUUAGUUGUAUUAAUUUCACUUUAUUUGCAAACGAAAAUGUUCGGGGAAAAAUGGUCUUGAAAAACUUUGUGGCUCCAACAUUCUGAUAUAUACACAACACUUGCUGAUUCUAUCAGCUUAAUAGUCGAGAUUGUAUUCUCAUUUCUGAGUGGAUCUAUUCGAGUUGGACCUUGUUUUGUCACUAGAUACUAGGACAAGUAUAUGAUAAUAGUUUUAGAGUACCGUCUAGAUACAUCAUUGCUGUAGUUUCAAUGCAGUCGAUAGAUUUAUUACGGCUGUAGCUUACGUCUAAAGGCUAGAUAAUAUUGCAAUAACAUGCCAGUAGUCUUUAGAUAAUGUCGCAUUGUGCAAACAUGAUACCAAAUCGUAGACUGGACAUCUGCAGGAUAAGCGCUUUCUCUGGACUACUGGUCCUUUUAGUUGCGUCCGUUCAUUAUAUUUAUAAAGAAACUAUCCGAGUUGGCAGCGCUGUACAUGAAGCCCAUCCAGUGGUCACUGAGCACCUGCCAUGGAGCCAAGUGGACAGAGAGCAGGCCGAUGGAAGGUUCGCUCUAAGCAUCAAUAGAAAGCCCCCUGACCACCAGAUCCUGGCUCCUUACAGACAGUGGAGGGGCGAGAACCUAACUGAAGUCAGUAUUUUAGAAAUGCUGUCAUACAAGAAUAGAGCAACGAGGCCGUAAAUCUUGGGGUUACUUUAUAUUUGGUUUAGAUACUCUGGUGUUUACAAAAUAUAUCGGUUUCAUUGAAAUGUUAAGUUAUUAUGAGCAUAACUCAAUAUUGUGGCAUAAACACCUUGAAUGGCUGUGAUAAACCGCACACUAUUUUUCCUUGGCACAGUCUGCAAAAGAGCUCACAGCUCAGCAGCAAUAAAGCUGGCUAGAAGAAGAAGAAGAAGAAGAAGAAGUAGAAGGCCCUUUGUACUAGCUAUACGCCUUGGAGACUUUUGGGACCUAGAGAGCAUCUACGACUAAUGGCUGGCACAGGGAUCAAAACUCCAUGUAACCAACCAGCGGCAGACAACUGUUAUGUGUGCACUGGACCAUCCUGGAUGUGGGAGAAUAGACCACACCUAGGACUACGUUGUCACGAGAAAAACUGCAUUCAUCUGCAAUUCUCAGGUUCGCUGACAUAUUAGGUGUACCAACAAACUACUGAGUCAAAAACAAAUACAAAAUAACAACUGUUCUGCUUUUGUCGGAACAGUCUGUCGCUAGUGCCAUUGAAAUAGAUGCCAGGUACAAGUGAAUCGGAUCUAAAGCACUACAGUGACAUUUUUAAAAAAUGAUUUUUAGACUAUCUAUGUAUUAACUUAGAAUUAACUAUUUCAGAAUUACUAAUGUAUAAAAUAGCUACAAACACUGUAGCGUUGGUUACAGGGCAGCCCUAAUGGUUUGUAGUUUUGACACUGCUUGCUUUGAAUAGUCUACAUGAUAACGUCUUUAUACAAUACACCUGCUCUACUAUUGGAAAACUUGAAAGCUAACCAUAAAGUGAAAACUUCUAAGCAUUUAUUACAUUUUUUGACCUUUAAAAACUACAUUGUUUGUAUAUUAUUUUUAGGUCAUAGAUAACGUGCUGUCCUUGACUCCUUCCAUCUGCACAUUCAUUAUGCAGUACUAGACUGAAGACAUUUGAAGACUUAUGUGUUGCAAACGCGAAUAACUGUAUAAUAUAUGUUUCUAGCGUGAAUAAGUGUAUAAUAUAUGUUUCUAACGUGAAUAAGUGCAUAAUAUAUGUUUCUAACGUGAAUAAGUGCAUAAUAUAUGUUUCUAACUUGAAUAAGUGCAUAAUAUAUGUUUCUAACGUGAAUAAGUGCAUAAUAUAUGUUUCUAACGUGAAUAAGUGCAUAAUAUAUGUUUCUAACGUGAAUAAGUGCAUAAUAUAUGUUUCUAACGUGAAUAAGUGCAUAAUAUAUGUUUCUGACGUGAAUAAGUGCAUAAUAUAUGUUCCAAACGUGAACAAGUGUAUAAUAUAUGUGUUCCAUACGUGAAUAAGCGAACAAUAUAUGUGUUCCAUACGUGAAUAAGCGAACAAUAUAUGUGUUGCAUACGUGAAUAAGCGUACAAGAUAUGUGUUGCAUACGUGAAUAAGCGUACAAUAUAUGUGUUGCAUACGUGAAUAAGCGUACAAUAUAUGUGUUCCAUACGUGAAUAAGCGUACAAUAUAUGUGUUCCAUACGUGAAUAAGCGUACAAUAUAUGUGUUGCAUACGUGAAUAAGCGUACGAUAUCAAAGUCUCACCUACAGUAAACGUACAGUGCCAUCUGAUCCAAACUCAAAGCCACGUAAAGGAAAUGUCCUGGAGUGUCCUCGUGUGUCAUGAUAGUUUUCCAGUGUACGCCAUUGCUUGAUGAACAAACCUAGCACUACAGCUAAUGAUCUAAACAUACGUUUGUGUAUGCCAAUUCUCUAAAUCUCAGCCUGUGUUCCUGUCUUGACCAACUGCUAGGUAUCUAUUUCAAAAUCUCGGCACCAUGUUUGUCUUGGCCGUGACCUCUUCCUAGUUCCUUUCGGGAUGCCAACAGAAGGGGCUUCUUGUGAUGUUGAAUGCAGGCUGUAGAGGGGGGCGGACUAUCCAUCGCCAGUGUCUCUGAAGGUUAUCAACUUCAAUUGGCCGCUGCUUUGUUCGUUGCUAUGGUUCCGCUUUAGUUAUCUUGUCUAACCAGUGGAUUACAAUAAUCUAUGUGUAGUUGAUAGCUUAAAGAAAUUCUGUAGUGAAUCCUGAAUAUCUGAAUACACUUUUAGUGUAUGUGACAAUGAUCUGAUUCACUUUUAGUGCAUGUGACUAUGAUCUGAUUCCGUGACUAUAAUCUGAUCCAGUUUUUAAUGUAUGUGACUAUAUUCUGAUUCACUUUUAGUGUAUGUGACUAUAUUCUGAUUCACUUUUAGUGUAUGUGACUAUAUUCUGAUUCACUUUUAGUGUAUGUGACUAUGAUCUGAUUCCGUGACUAUAAUCUGAUCCAGUUUUAAAUGUAUGUGACUAUAUUCUGAUUCACUUUUAGUGUAUGUGACUAUAUUCUGAUUCACUUUUAGUGUAUGUGACUAUAAUCUGAUCCAGUUUUUAAUGUAUGUGACUAUAUUCUGAUUCACUUUUAGUGUAUGUGACUAUAUUCUGAUUCACUUUUAGUGUAUGUGACUAUAUUCUGAUUCACUUUUAGUGUAUGUGACUAUGAUCUGAUUCCGUGACUAUAAUCUGAUCCAGUUUUAAAUGUAUGUGACUAUAUUCUGAUUCACUUUUAGUGUAUGUGACUAUAAUCUGAUUCACUUUUAGUGUAUGUGACUAUAUUCUGAUUCACUUUUAGUGUAUGUGACUAUAAUCUGAUCCAGUUUUAAUGUAUGUGACUAUGAUCUGAUUCACUUUUAGUGUAUGUGACUAUGAUCUGAUUCACUUUUAGUGUAUGUGACUAUAAUCUGAUCCAGUUUUAAUGUAUGUGACUAUAAUCUGAUCCAGUUUUAAUGUAUGUGACUAUAUUCUGAUUCACUUUUAGUGUAUGUGACUAUAAUCUGAUCCAGUUUUAAUGUAUGUGACUAUAUUCUGAUUCACUUUUAGUGUAUGUGACUAUGAUCUGAUUCACUUUUAGUGUAUGUGACUAUAAUCUGAUCCAGUUUUAAUGUAUGUGACUAUAAUCUGAUCCAGUUUUAAUGUAUGUGACUAUAUUCUGAUUCACUUUUAGUGUAUGUGACUAUAAUCUGAUCCAGUUUUAAUGUAUGUGACUAUAUUCUGAUUCACUUUUAGUGUAUGUGACUAUGAUCUGAUUCACUUUUAGUGUAUGUGACUAUAAUCUGAUCCAGUUUUAAUGUAUGUGACUAUAAUCUGAUCCAGUUUUAAUGUAUGUGACUAUAUUCUGAUUCACUUUUAGUGUAUGUGACUAUAAUCUGAUCCAGUUUUAAUGUAUGUGACUAUGAUCUGAUUCACUUUUAGUGUAUGUGACUAUGAUCUGAUUCACUUUUAGUGUAUGUGACUAUGAUCUGAUUCACUUUUAGUGUAUGUGACUAUGAUCUGAUUCACUUUUAGUGUAUGUGACUAUAAUCUGAUCCAGUUUUAAUGUAUGUGACUAUAAUCUGAUCCAGUUUUAAUGUAUGUGACUAUAAUUUGAUUCACAUUUAGUGUAUGUGACUAUAUUCUGAUUCACUUUUAGUGUAUGUGACUAUAUUCUGAUUCACUUUUAGUGUAUGUGACUAUAAUCUGAUCCAGUUUUAAUGUAUGUGACUAUGAUCUGAUUUACUUUUAGUGUAUGUGACUAUGAUCUGAUUCCGUGACUAUAAUCUGAUCCAGUUUUAAUGUAUGUGACUAUAAUCUGAUUUACUUUUAGUGUAUGUGACUAUGAUCUGAUUCCGUGACUAUAAUCUGAUCCAGUUUUAAUGUAUGUGACUAUAAUUUGAUUCACUUUUAGUGUAUGUGACUAUAUUCUGAUUCACUUUUAGUGUAUGUGACUAUAUUCUGAUUCACUUUUAGUGUAUGUGACUAUAAUCUGAUCCAGUUUUAAUGUAUGUGACUAUGAUCUGAUUUACUUUUAGUGUAUGUGACUAUGAUCUGAUUCCGUGACUAUAAUCUGAUCCAGUUUUAAUGUAUGUGACUAUGAUCUGAUUCACUUUUAGUGUAUGUGACUAUAUUCUGAUUCACUUUUAGUGUAUGCGAAUAUAAAAUGAAGCACGCGGAGUACAUGGAUAUUGUUGUUAUCCGUGAAACAAUGUCUUGAAUAAUUUUUAUGCUUAUAAACUUUACAAGUUAAUUA